ACGGGGACCCGCACAAGCGUGAUGAUGUGGUUUAAUUCGAUGCAACGCGAAGAACCUUUACCAGGGCCUGACAUCCCUCUGACCGGCGUGUAACGGCGCCUUCCCUUCGGGGCAGAGGAGACAGGUGGUGCAUGGUUGUCGUCAGCUCGUGUCGUGAGAUGUUGGGUUAAGUCCCGCAACGAGCGCAACCCUUGUCAUUAGUUGCCAGCAGGUAAAGCUGGGCACUCUAGUGAGACUGCCGGGGACAACUCGGAGGAAGGUGGGAUGACGUCAAAUCAUCAUGCCCCUUAUGUUCUGGGCUACACACGUGCUACAAUGGCCGGUACAGAGAGACGCAAUGUCGUGAGGCGGAGCAAAACUCCAAAACCGGUCCCAGUUCGGAUUGCAGGCUGCAACUCGCCUGCAUGAAGUCGGAGUUGCUAGUAAUCGCGAAUCAGCAUGACGCGGUGAAUACGUUCCCGGGCCUU
RNAcentral lists this ribosomal RNA (467 nucleotides) under uncultured Eubacteriales bacterium. RNAcentral's name for it is "bacterial SSU rRNA". It matches the Rfam family "Bacterial small subunit ribosomal RNA", at positions 913 to 1382 of the family's 1533-position model. Lineage: Bacteria; Bacillati; Bacillota; Clostridia; Eubacteriales. The record is from RNAcentral.